RNAcentral lists this ribosomal RNA (259 nucleotides) under Austrogoniodes waterstoni. RNAcentral's name for it is "partial 12S ribosomal RNA". Lineage: Eukaryota; Metazoa; Arthropoda; Insecta; Psocodea; Philopteridae. The record is from RNAcentral.
CUCUGNGAGAGUAAAUAAUUUUUAAAACUAAUUGACAUGGCGGUUCUUUAUCCAAUCAGAGGGGUGUGUGUUUAAACGAAGUUACACGAAAAUCUUACCUAAACUAUCAAUUAACUUUUAUUCAUUAAUUAAAGUUUUAAUAAAUUUUGUACACCUCCGUCGGAAGGAUACUUUGAAAAAAUUAUCCUAUAUCUUUAACAAAGAUAUAAGUCAGGUCAAGGUGCAGAUUAUGUUUAGGUUUACAUGCAUUUCUGUAAAA